CGGGUGAGUAACGCGUGGAUAACCUGCCUCACACUGGGGGAUAACAGUUAGAAAUGGCUGCUAAUGCCGCAUAAGCGCACAGUACCGCAUGGUACGGUGUGAAAAACCCAGGUGGUGUGAGAUGGAUCCGCGUCUGAUUGGCCAGUUGGCGGGGUAACGGCCCACCAAAGCGACGAUCAGUAGCCGACCUGAGAGGGUGACCGGCCACAUUGGGACUGAGACACGGCCCAA
RNAcentral lists this ribosomal RNA (231 nucleotides) under uncultured bacterium. RNAcentral's name for it is "partial 16S ribosomal RNA". It matches the Rfam family "Bacterial small subunit ribosomal RNA", at positions 103 to 334 of the family's 1533-position model. The record is from RNAcentral.